RNAcentral lists this transfer RNA (74 nucleotides) under Alphaproteobacteria bacterium. RNAcentral's name for it is "tRNA-Cys". It matches the Rfam family "tRNA". From Rfam's summary of the family: Transfer RNA (tRNA) molecules are approximately 80 nucleotides in length. Their secondary structure includes four short double-helical elements and three loops (D, anti-codon, and T loops). Lineage: Bacteria; Pseudomonadati; Pseudomonadota; Alphaproteobacteria. RNAcentral also lists the same sequence under 2 other names. The record is from RNAcentral.
GGCGCGGUGGCGGAGUGGCUACGCAGAGGACUGCAAAUCCUUGUACACCGGUUCGAUUCCGGUCCGCGCCUCCA